AACCAUACUAUAACUUCUCGUUUAACAAUUGAACAAUUUGUAUGGAAUAUAUACAAGUAGUUCAUAUCGAUAUGUCAUUAUAGUUGGGUUUUUUUUUUCGUGUAGUUGUUGUUGUUGUUUUUGUUUUGUGUCUACUCUUCGUUGGUUUUCUGUUCUCGGGCUUCCGAGUGCAUGUAAUGAUUUUGUGUGAUCUAUGAAACAACAAAACAGAGGAAGCUUUGUGUCUCUAUAAAGUACUUUGAAUUAAAACUCUCAUAUUUCUUGCUUAUAAAAUACACGUUCGUAAUGUUUUCACAGAUUAUAUACGAACGGAGACAACUAAAAAAAAAGGCCAACCAAAAACCAAUCAAACCACCACAUACGAACGAUAAAUAGCCAUGUUAAUCUCUUGGUUGGUUAAUGGGUUUCCUAGUACGCAAUUAAAACCAAAAAAAAAUGGAACAAUUUAGUCCUGUAAACCUCUUGGUUUGUUAUGUGAUUUACCUGUGCCCAUUUUAAUACUACAGGUGUCCACACAAUAUGUUACAUUUCUAGAGUUAUUUCGAUCUGACAAGAAUAUCUUCGCACAACGCCUCCUCUUUACGGAAAAGCUACGCUUAUCCAAUAUUUUCAAACCCAUCCCUGCUAUUACCAUUCCUUGUUAAACUGGUAUAAAAUUUGAUGAUUCCAGGAAAAUAGCAUUAUGUAACAACGGCACAUUUAUAGAAAAAAAGUUGAAUAAUUGAGUAGUUUCGUUAGCUAACUUAUUGAC
Molecule: long non-coding RNA, 751 nt
Filed under: Mytilus galloprovincialis (Mediterranean mussel)
Lineage: Eukaryota; Metazoa; Mollusca; Bivalvia; Mytilida; Mytilidae
Source: RNAcentral